CCGCGGUAAUACGAAAGGGGCAAGCGUUGUUCGGAUUUACUGGGCGUAAAGGGCACGCAGGCGGUCUUGCCAGUCAGGGGUGAAAGCCCGGGGCUCAACCCCGGAACUGCCUCUGAUACUGCAGGACUAGAGACUAGGAGAGGGUGGUGGAAUUCCCAGUGUAGAGGUGAAAUUCGUAGAUAUUGGGAGGAACACCAGAGGCGAAGGCGGCCACCUGGACUAGAUCUGACGCUCAGGUGCGAAAGCGUGGGGAGCAAACAGGAUUAGAUACCCUGGUAGUCCACGCCGU
Molecule: ribosomal RNA, 289 nt
Filed under: bacterium
Lineage: Bacteria
Description: partial 16S ribosomal RNA
Rfam family: Bacterial small subunit ribosomal RNA
Source: RNAcentral